RNAcentral lists this transfer RNA (73 nucleotides) under Astyanax mexicanus (Mexican tetra). It matches the Rfam family "tRNA". Rfam says of the family: Transfer RNA (tRNA) molecules are approximately 80 nucleotides in length. Their secondary structure includes four short double-helical elements and three loops (D, anti-codon, and T loops). The record is from Rfam by way of RNAcentral. Lineage: Eukaryota; Metazoa; Chordata; Actinopteri; Characiformes; Acestrorhamphidae.
UAGUACGUAGCUCAGUGGUUAGAGCGCUGGUUUAGUAAACCAGAGAUCGCUAAUUUGAUACAAUACAUUUUAA